GACGAACGCUGGCGGCGUGCUUAACACAUGCAAGUCGAACGGAAAGGCCCUGCUUUUGUGGGGUGCUCGAGUGGCGAACGGGUGAGUAACACGUGAGUAACCUGCCCUUGACUUUGGGAUAACUUCAGGAAACUGGGGCUAAUACCGGAUAGGAGCUCCUGCUGCAUGGUGGGGGUUGGAAAGUUUCGGCGGUUGGGGAUGGACUCGCGGCUUAUCAGCUUGUUGGCGGGGUAGUGGCUUACCAAGGCUUUGACGGGUAGCCGGCCUGAGAGGGUGACCGGCCACAAUGGGACUGAGAGACGGACCAGACUGCUACGGGAGGCAGCAGUGGGGAAUAUUGCACAAUGGGCGGAAGCCUGAUGCAGCAACGCCGCGUGCGGGAUGACGGCCUUCGGGUUGUAAACCGCUUUCGCCUGUGACGAAGCGUGAGUGACGGUAAUGGGUAAAGAAGCACCGGCUAACUACGUG
This 468-nucleotide ribosomal RNA is filed under the name uncultured bacterium. RNAcentral describes it as "partial 16S ribosomal RNA". It matches the Rfam family "Bacterial small subunit ribosomal RNA", at positions 28 to 507 of the family's 1533-position model. The record is from RNAcentral.